GUCAUCCUCAAGAGGCUCUUCAUGAGAAAGACUAACCGCCCGCCGCUCUCCAUGCGCCGCCUCUCCAACUUCAUGAAGGGAAAGGUAUGUGCACCCAUACUUUGCCGUGAGACAUUACUGUCUGUUUGCUCGUAAUCUAGUUGUAAGGUUCCCAAUUAUGAAUUAACCAUGCUAAUACUGAUACUAUUUGACGAGCAAUAUAUUAUUACUGAGGGAACCAUUUACUUAGUGCUGCUUUUUUGACUUCCAAAAACAAUGAAUUAACAUUUGAUUUGCUUAAUUUUUCUCAUUUUAGCUUACGAAUCUCUUGUCUGUGUAUUUGUUGCUGCCAAAAGGGAUCUGGAUAGGUUGCAACUGGGAGUAAAAUAUGCGUCCAAACUGAUCGUCUGGUGCGAAAAUCGACGACCAAGAUCCACUUCAGCUUGGUAGUGACCUGUGAGAGAUCUGUGGUGGUAAGCGGCACGUGUCUGAUCCCUGGGCAUCGGUUCAUUUCUGAUGUUUGAUCCUGGCUGUCGGUUGCCUGUCGGGAUGGCGGAUUCUUUUCGGUUGUUAUGGUAGGGAACCCCUUCGUCCCUAACUUCAGUAUGCAAACUGAUUAUCUAUCUUUUGCAAACUGAUUAUCUAUCUAGAAAAUGUUGCAGUUGUGGUACUACGUGAUCUUACUAAUGCUGUCUUUUUUUACUCUUGUAAACUGAGCCCUUGCGUUGCGUCUGCAAGAAGUAGUGCUACUGCUUGUUCAUAAUGGCUGAUUGCUUGCUGAAUCUUGUUCUGCAAACUGAGAAGAUUUAGAAUGAUGCAUUUCCGCUGCGAGUGAUUUCUUCAGUCUGACCUGAUUAGUAAGUGCUUGUACUAAUCUCUGCCAUGUGUUUGUAACAGUGCAAGUUUGGCUUCCAGAUGAGAUCUGGCUUUCAGAUUCUUCUGAAACUGAACGCAUCUAUGUUUGGCCAUUUGUACUACAUCUUUCUGAACCGAACACUGCCAUGUUUGGCAAACUGAUGAUACGUGUAUCUUUGUUGAACUCUGGUUAUCUGCAAGUAGUAGUGCUCCUCUUUUGGUUUCCUUUGUUGCUUUAUGCAUAAGAAUAGGCUGAUAAGAACAGAACAUUGAUACUUUGCAUGCUAUUAGCUGAAUGGAUGGCUCUGGUAGUAGAAUGGUAUUAUUGUUUAGGUGCAAUUUGGUGUAGUGAAGUUUUUUGCACGACUCGCACUUGUCAAAAGCAUGAUUGUAUUGUGAGCCAAUAAUUUCUUGGAGUCUUCUUAGAGCUUGCUGGCAUUAGGAUCGACCCCUAGCUGCUUGUGUAUUUGUUUAUUAUUUUGUUCAAUAUUCUUUUCCUAGCUGUUGUAUGUUUGAGG
RNAcentral lists this long non-coding RNA (1352 nucleotides) under Triticum aestivum (bread wheat). RNAcentral's name for it is "long non-coding RNA (TAES_LNC011222)". The stretch from base 148 to 219 matches the Rfam family "Small nucleolar RNA snoR53Y". The record is from RNAcentral. Lineage: Eukaryota; Viridiplantae; Streptophyta; Magnoliopsida; Poales; Poaceae.